This 74-nucleotide transfer RNA is filed under the name Candidatus Beckwithbacteria bacterium RIFCSPLOWO2_02_FULL_47_23. RNAcentral describes it as "tRNA-Val". It matches the Rfam family "tRNA". Rfam says of the family: Transfer RNA (tRNA) molecules are approximately 80 nucleotides in length. Their secondary structure includes four short double-helical elements and three loops (D, anti-codon, and T loops). The record is from RNAcentral. Lineage: Bacteria; Candidatus Beckwithiibacteriota.
GGACGGUUAGCUCAGUUGGUUAGAGCGCUACAUUGACAUUGUAGAGGUCAUAGGUUCGAGCCCUAUACCGUCCA